This 590-nucleotide long non-coding RNA is filed under the name Mytilus galloprovincialis (Mediterranean mussel). Lineage: Eukaryota; Metazoa; Mollusca; Bivalvia; Mytilida; Mytilidae. The record is from RNAcentral.
CAAUUUGAUUUAAAUCGUCAUUCAAUAUAAAAAAAAAAAGAUGCAUUAACGAAGAAAUAAAUAUAACUUGAAAAUUGAAACUGAUCAUUUCUGUUUUAUAAAAAAAAAUACAUUCUUAAGGGACUUACUAGACUAGUUGGUUUAACAUGUUUAAUGAAUGGGUUAAACAGGUACCAUGCAAAGAUUAGAAAAUGUUUAUUUUACGGGGCACAUCAUUUCAAUCUUGAAGUCUGUAUUAAGGUAUAUGAAUUUAUCAUUUACGUUUUAUUUUUACCAUCACGAUCUGGUUGACCAUUAUUGAAUGUUUAUUUCACAAAUGUUUAAAGACAUGCUUCCGUUGUCGUACAUGUACACUUAUUUAAGACAAAUCAUUGGUCGUAUAGGUACUGCAUUAUUUUCCAUUUGCUCAUCAUUUGCAAUAGAUUUGGAAACCGUGAACAUAAAUCUGCCAUAGAUUAGGAUAUUACAAAACUUGCCAUAGAUUAGGAUUAUAAAAAAUCUGCCAUAGAUUUGGGAUGGCAUGACGUCACAUUUGCCAUAGAUUAGGAAUCUGCCAUAGAUUUGGAACCCACCAUAGAUUUGAGUCCUAC